RNAcentral lists this ribosomal RNA (388 nucleotides) under uncultured bacterium. RNAcentral's name for it is "bacterial SSU rRNA". It matches the Rfam family "Bacterial small subunit ribosomal RNA", at positions 30 to 414 of the family's 1533-position model. The record is from RNAcentral.
AUUGAACGCUGGCGGCAUGCCUUACACAUGCAAGUCGAACGGCAGCACGGGAGCUUGCUCCUGGUGGCGAGUGGCGAACGGGUGAGUAAUACAUCGGAACGUACCCUGAAGUGGGGGAUAACGUAGCGAAAGUUACGCUAAUACCGCAUAUUCUGUGAGCAGGAAAGAGGGGGAGUCGCAAGACCUCUUGCUUUAGGAGCGGCCGAUGUCGGAUUAGCUAGUUGGUGAGGUAAAGGCUCACCAAGGCGACGAUCCGUAGCGGGUCUGAGAGGAUGAUCCGCCACACUGGGACUGAGACACGGCCCAGACUCCUACGGGAGGCAGCAGUGGGGGAAUUUUGGACAAUGGGCGCAAGCCUGAUCCAGCCAUGCCGCGUGAGUGAAGAAGG